CGCCCGCCUGCCCGGCGCGGUCCGAGGAUGCGGGGGGGCGAUGCCCGGGGCCAGGGACGCGCUCUGUCACCAGGCGCUGCAGCUGCUGGCCGAGCUCUGCGCCCGUGGGGCCCUGGAGCACGACAGCUGCCAGGAUUUCAUCUACCACCUGCGGGACCGCGCCCGACCCCGGCUCCGCGACCCAGAUAUCUCGGUGAGCCUGCUGACCCUCGUGGUCACUGCCUGUGGCCUCGCGCUUUUUGGCGUGUCUCUCUUCGUGUCUUGGAAGCUCUGCUGGGUUCCGUGGCGAGAACGAGGCCUGCUGUCUGGUAGCAAAGACAACAACCGGGAACCUCUUAACUACACGGACACAGAGACCAAUGAGCAGGAGAACAGUGAGGGCUUCUUAGACCCUCCCACCCCCUGCCCUGACUCCUCCAUGAAGAUCAGCCACACGUCCCCGGACAUCCCCCUCUCAACCCAGGCGGGGGGGCCGGAGAACUGUGCCCAUGGCGUCCGUGUACAGCGCCAAGUCACAGAGCCAACCUCGUCGGCCCGGCAUAAUUCAAUCCGAAGACAACUCAACCUGUCAAACCCAGACUUCAAUAUCCAGCAGCUUCAAAAACAGGAACAGUUGACCGGAAUUGGUCGAAUUAAACCAGAAUUAUAUAAGCAGAGGUCACUGGAUACUGAUGAUGGGACUAGGGGUAACAGCAAAGCCUGUGGGAAACUGAAUUUCAUUUUAAAAUAUGACUGUGACUUAGAGCAGCUCAUCGUGAAGAUUCACAAAGCUGUCAAUUUGCCUGCCAAGGACUUUUCUGGAACUUCAGAUCCUUAUGUCAAGAUCUAUUUGCUUCCUGAUCGGAAAACAAAACACCAGACUAAAGUGCACAGAAAGACCUUGAACCCUGUGUUUGAUGAAGUGUUUUUGUUUCCAGUUCCCUACAAUGACCUUGCAGCACGGAAGCUUCACUUCUCUGUGUAUGACUUUGACAGGUUCUCUCGCCAUGACCUAAUCGGCCAAGUGGUGGUGGAUCACUUCCUAGACUUGGCUGAUUUCCCCAGGGAGUGCAUCCUUUGGAAGGAUAUCGAGUAUGUCACUAAUGACAAUGUGGAUCUUGGAGAGUUGAUGUUUUCCCUCUGCUAUCUUCCAACUGCUGGCAGGCUGACCAUUACCAUUAUAAAAGCAAGGAAUUUAAAGGCAAUGGACAUAACAGGAGCAUCAGAUCCCUACGUGAAAGUGUCCCUGAUGUGUGAUGGCAGACGACUGAAGAAAAGGAAAACAUCCACCAAGAGGAACACUCUGAAUCCUGUUUACAACGAAGCCAUAGUCUUUGACGUCCCCCCUGAGAACAUUGACCAAAUCCACUUGUCCAUAGCCGUCAUGGACUACGACCGGUCAUAAUGAGAUCAUCGGCGUGUGUCAAGUAGGCAACGAAGCUGAGAGGCUGGGCAGAGACCACUGGAGUGAAAUGUUGUCAUAUCCUCGGAAGCCCAUCGCACACUGGCAUUCCCUGGUGGAGAAACGAUGACCAUCAGUUAAGAGGAAUGUUUGUGCCAAGGACACAGUGGGACAACCACCUUACAAAGAUCUUAAGUAACUUUUCUCAUCCAACAACACCCGGACGACUCCAGUGACCAAAUGCUGAGCUGUAACUACGGCAAUAACUGGCCCUCUUUCCAGAUUAGGUUUGGCGAAUAUGAGCGUUCUGGCCAUCUUCAAGUGGCCUAAGGUAGUGUGGGAAGCACGGCUGUCAUGGCCAAGAACAAGAUCGGACUAUGGAAGAAACCACCCGAUGUAGUGAGAACACUAAGAGUACCCUCGAUCACUAGGAUUCUUAGUGAUUAACAUGAGGCCCUUGGUGAUGGGGUCAUAGCACCUGCCCUGGCAACGUCACUCUGACAUGAUAUUUGCUUGGACGCCCUGGAAGGACAGAAUAUUUAAAAAUAUAUCCAGGUGCUAAAUAGGCAGCAGAUCCAAUUCACACUGGACUACCUUUGAGCUAAUAACUGUCUUCAGAAAAUAACUUUACCCCAAAAAGUGCUUCAGCCUUGCAAGGAAUAGCCCCAGGACAGUAAGAGGAUAAACAGGCUGUUCCCCUGGAGAAAAUCUAGUGCAAGGAGGGCUGAUUCACAGCAAAUUCACUGCCCCCUCCCAUGCAUAUGGCAGAGAGUUGAUCAUAGUCCUUUCUGUGCUAAACCCAGAUUCUGAGGAGUCAGAAUCCCUGACAGUGUUUUCUAGAUGGCCAGCAGCCACUUCCUUGCAACGGGUGUUCAAUGUAGAAUGAAAGUUAAUAGCCAUCUCUGUUAGAGAGGCAUGUGUCUCAAUGGCAUAAGCAUUCUGGAAUACCCUUUUCCGAGCAUGCUUGUCCACUGGGGGAACAGCCACAGGAACAGGUGUACCGUUAUGUAUAAGUUGAUGGAGAGGUAACACAACCCUCCCCCUGAGGAAGGCACAAUUUUUGGACCAUCUUGGCCUGAGUGCUUUCUGGGGUAUUUCCAUAUGCAACAGCCCAGGGGCAUAGCCUUGGGCAGCCACAAACAGGCUUCCUUUCACUUCCAGACACAUAUAUCACUUUCAUAGCACUUGGGGAAUGGAAAUACCUACAAGAGUGAAGGUCAAGGGCUCUCCCCGGGUAUCUCAUUCAUUACGCAGCUUCCUUUGUGACCACAUCAGCCAACCCACUGCCAGCUCUGCUCCUCAUCCUCAUUGCUUCUGCCUCCAUACAAAUGAAACCAAAGGCCUUAGCAUACCUUGGGGCGGGGGGAAGGGGGGUGGGUGUUACCUAGUGGUCCUCUCUCUCCUAUUAUGGGUGCAAGGUACCCCAACCACACAUUGCACCACUUCUCCAAGAUAACAUCCUCGGAAGCUCACUAUCUUCAUUUGAAUUAACGUUUCGCUGUGGGACUAACUGGGUGGAAGCAAGAUCCUUGCAUGUCUGCAGAAAGUUCUUACUGUGGCAGCUGCCUGGUGCAAGAAACUCUACACGGAUUUCACAUCUAAAAAGGAGAGAGGCCUUUGGUUGUGUGAGUCAGUGUUACUACACUGUAGCUUCACGCAUUCCCCAGCCUGCCUAGACCAUUUCCAUCUCUGAUUGGCUUUCAACCACCUGGAUCCAAAGAGAAGCCAAGGUUCUGCCUGUGUCUGAUGAUGUGAGAAGAAUUCAACUUUCCUUGCCCAAAGUUCCACCCUGCCUGUUCCUCCCCAUCCAGACAUCCUCCACCUACCAGUGUUUCGAACCAAAGCAUGAAGGACAUGUGCCAGCAGGAUAGCCAGCAGAAAGACUGUCUCUAGAGCCAGGCAGAUGAGCCCAGAAGAAUGGUCCCAGAGAAACCAGACUGGCCCCAAUAGAUAGCAGGCAGCCAUCUCAAUAAACUUUGACAUGUCCUUGGCACUAAGAGCCUGGGUAGGAGAUCCUGGGGCAGCUGUGCCUAUUGUUUCCCCCCUAAGAUCUUCCUGCCCAGAGAGCUAGCAGCCCUGGGUACUACUGAGUAUGUUACUGGCUUGUUGGUGUGAAACAGAAGGUGGCUUUGUAGAGGCUAGCAGGCAAAGAAGCCCGGCUGCAUGGCAGGCUGGUGGCUUUGUGUCUAGAAAGGUUAGUCUAGCCAGUCCAGCUGUGGCCAGAGGCUGUUUCUGGAUUUGAACUCCCCGAGCCCAUCUGCACCUCUGCCUCUGUUCUCUUGCAUUCUGUUUGGUUUCCCUUUAGUUUCCUAGUAAAUGUUCCUUUUGAAAAAUUCCAA
This is an RNA transcript of Canis lupus familiaris (dog), 3720 nucleotides long. It is a transcript of the gene named synaptotagmin 9, with no coding region annotated. Lineage: Eukaryota; Metazoa; Chordata; Mammalia; Carnivora; Canidae. The transcript has 7 exons. The record is from RefSeq and is a predicted model, not a curated record.